Lonchura striata (white-rumped munia) is the source of this 575-nucleotide non-coding RNA. NCBI's taxonomy places the organism in Eukaryota, Metazoa, Chordata, Aves, Passeriformes, Estrildidae. The record is from RefSeq and is a predicted model, not a curated record.
UUCCCUUUUUCCUGCACCGUUCCCCAUUCCCAAAGCAGCCCACGAUCCUCUCUGAGCUCCAGCUUCUCUGUACCUCAGUUUCCCCCACAGAGGGAAAAUUCCUUUAAAUUUUUUUUUUUACCUCAGCAAAUAAUUUUCCUUAUUUAAACUAGUAUUAAUUUGUUUAUUACACAGCACAGAGGGAACAGGUCAGCACAGCAGGAUCUUAACUCCACGUGGAAAUAGAAUAAUGCACAUGGUCCCAAAGCUCAAGAGACGGUCACUCAGCAGCAGCAGCACUGAUGGGCUAAGAAAGUGAUGGCAAGGACACGCUGAAAAUUCAAAUUAAUCCUGUUUUCCUGCACUGUGGAAGCUGGGCUGGCUGACAUGGGGGGUUUCAGGGAGAGGAGAAUGCUCCAGGGGACAGAUUGCUGCCCAGGCAUGGACAGCUCCCACUGGGAUCACAGAUGUCCCUGUCCCCUGCCUUUGUGACCUGUUUGGGACACAGCAGCCUCCAGGACCUGGUUUGAAAGAGUCUGAGUUGAACCAAAAAUACCAAGUGAGAUUUAAAGAGAAUAAAGAGACUUUGCACUUGC